This 471-nucleotide ribosomal RNA is filed under the name uncultured bacterium. Its description in RNAcentral is "partial 16S ribosomal RNA". It matches the Rfam family "Bacterial small subunit ribosomal RNA", at positions 28 to 507 of the family's 1533-position model. The record is from RNAcentral.
GACGAACGCUGGCGGCGUGCUUAACACAUGCAAGUCGAACGAUGAAGCCUAGCUUGCUAGGUGGAUUAGUGGCGAACGGGUGAGUAAUACGUGAGUAACCUACCUUUAACUCUGGGAUAAGCCUGGGAAACUGGGUCUAAUACCGGAUACGACCAAUCUCCGCAUGGGGUGUUGGUGGAAAGCGUUAUGUAGUGGUUAUAGAUGGGCUCACGGCCUAUCAGCUUGUUGGUGAGGUAACGGCUCACCAAGGCGACGACGGGUAGCCGGCCUGAGAGGGUGACCGGCCACACUGGGACUGAGACACGGCCCAGACUCCUACGGGAGGCAGCAGUGGGGAAUAUUGCACAAUGGGCGCAAGCCUGAUGCAGCGACGCCGCGUGAGGGAUGACGGUCUUCGGGUUGUAAACCUCUGUUAGCAGGGAAGAAGAGAAAUUGACGGUACCUGCAGAGAAAGCGCCGGCUAACUACGUG